GCAUACAACAGAAGCCCUUCUGUUGGUUGGGAAGAUAGGGAGAGAUAGAGAGGGUUCGAAGGAGGAGGCUAGACCUCUGUGUUCGCGGCGGUGGUCGGAGUUCAAAUUAAGGAGGUGGCCAGCAUGAAGGAGAUGGAUCUGAGGGGAUCUGGGGCUCUUCCGAAGUGGAUCACUCCAUAUGCUUCAAAUUAAGGUAUGACUCCAUAUGCUUCAAAUUUCAAUCAUUUUCAUUUGAUUAUUUUUCUAUCAGCAUCACAUAAUUCUUUUGAUUGCAGCAGCAGUGCACAAGUGUGUCACCCUAAAGGUGAUUCACAAGUGUCGGGAUGUCGGUGAGGUGUUCCUAUGGGCAAAAACGAGGCAAGCCUUCAAAUUUUGUUGAACAGAGAUGUGAGUGAAUAGUUUUUAAGGUCUAAUAUGAGUUCUUGGUUGUUGACUUCUUUUAGUGAUUAUUUGGUAUCUAUUCUUUUAAUUAGUUACUUGAUUAUGUUGUGUCUCAUGCACCUUUUAAUGUUUAUGACUAUUUUUUUUCAGAAUGAUCAGAAGGACUCUCUGCAGUUUGGAGAGCUGGAAUGACUUGCAGAUGUUGGCUCAC
This 592-nucleotide long non-coding RNA is filed under the name Lotus japonicus. RNAcentral describes it as "long non-coding RNA (LJAP_LNC000156)". Lineage: Eukaryota; Viridiplantae; Streptophyta; Magnoliopsida; Fabales; Fabaceae. The record is from RNAcentral.